Molecule: long non-coding RNA, 564 nt
Filed under: Homo sapiens (human)
Lineage: Eukaryota; Metazoa; Chordata; Mammalia; Primates; Hominidae
Description: HSALNT0237924
Rfam family: mir-492 microRNA precursor family (bases 113-228)
Source: RNAcentral
ACGACAGCCUGGUCUCCUACCUGGACAAGGUGCGUGCCCUGGAGGAGGCCAACGCUGACCUGGAGGUGAAGAUCCAUGACUGGUACCAGUGGCAGCGGCCUGCUAAGAUCAAAGACUACAGUCCCUACUUCAAGACCAUCGAGGAUCUGAGGAACAAGAUCCUCACGGCCACAGUGGACAAUGCCAAUGUCCUUCUGCAGAUUGACAACGCCCGUCUGGCCGCAGAUGACUUCCGCACCAAGCGAGUUUGCAGUGGUGGGCCAGAACAUCCAGUGUCCCCAAAGUAUGAGACAGAGUUGAACCUGCGCAUGAGUGUGGGGGCCGACAUCAAUGGCAUGCGCCAGGUGCUGGGGUGCUGGACGAACUGACCCUGGCCAGAGCUGACCUGGAGAUGCAGAUUGAGAGCCUGAAGGAGGAGCUGGCCUAACUGAAGAAGAACCAUGAGGAGGAGAUGAAUGCCCUGAGAGGCCAGGUGGGUGGAGAUGUCAAUGUGGAGAUGGACGAUGCACCUGGUGUGGACCUGAGCCACAUUCUGAACGAGAUGCGUGACCAGUACGAGAAGAU